Martensiomyces pterosporus is the source of this 71-nucleotide non-coding RNA. The record is from the annotation of a GenBank genome assembly. NCBI's taxonomy places the organism in Eukaryota, Fungi, Kickxellomycota, Kickxellomycetes, Kickxellales, Kickxellaceae.
GCGUCGAUAGUUAAGUGGCAUAAUCGAUGCUUCCCAAGCAUUGGUCCCGGGUUCGAUUCCCGGUCGUCGCA